CUUCGGACGGGGUGAGUAACGCGUGAGAAUCUGCCUCUCAGGACGGGAAACAACAGCUGGAAACGGCUGCUAAUACCCGAUGUGCCGAGACGGUAAAAACAAUAUAUGGCCUGAGGAUGAGCUCGCGUCUGAUUAGCUAGUUGGUGGGGUAAGAGCCUACCAAGGCGACGAUCAGUAGCUGGUCUGAGAGGAUGAUCAGCCACACUGGGACUGAGACACGGCCCAGACUCCUACGGGAGGCAGCAGUGGGGAAUUUUCCGCAAUGGGCGCAAGCCUGACGGAGCAAGACCGCGUGCGGGAGGAAGGCCUAUUGGUUGUAAACCCCUUUUGAUAGGGAAGAAGUACUGACGGUACCUAUGGAAUCAGCAUCGGCUAACUCCGUGCCAGCAGCCGCGGUAAUACGGAGGAUGCAAGCGUUAUCCGGAAUUAUUGGGCGUAAAGCGUCCGUAGGUGGUUGUUCAAGUCUGCUGUUAAAGCGUGAGGCUUAACUUCAUACCGGCAGUGGAAACUGGAUGACUAGAGUGCGGUAGGGGUCAGGGGAAUUCCCAGUGUAGCGGUGAAAUGCGUAGAUAUUGGGAAGAACACCGGUGGCGAAGCGCUUGUACUGGACCUGCACUGACACUGAUGACGAAGCAAAAAGGUG
RNAcentral lists this ribosomal RNA (643 nucleotides) under Leptolyngbya sp. RGVM. RNAcentral describes it as "bacterial SSU rRNA". It matches the Rfam family "Bacterial small subunit ribosomal RNA", at positions 96 to 768 of the family's 1533-position model. The record is from RNAcentral. Lineage: Bacteria; Bacillati; Cyanobacteriota; Cyanophyceae; Leptolyngbyales; Leptolyngbyaceae.